Mangifera indica (mango) is the source of this 238-nucleotide long non-coding RNA. RefSeq lists it as uncharacterized. The transcript is spliced from 2 exons. The record is from RefSeq and is a predicted model, not a curated record. Lineage: Eukaryota; Viridiplantae; Streptophyta; Magnoliopsida; Sapindales; Anacardiaceae.
AACUCAUCCUAGUCAUUCAGAGUUGUAUGAGGCAGUAAAAUAAUGCUACAGGGGAAUCAUUCAGGUUCCUAUGAAAGAGAUUUAAAGUACACUCUUUAUGGUGUUCUGGUUCAUCAUGGUUGGAGUACACAUUCUGGACACCAUUACUGCUUUCCAUUUCUCUUCUAGGAAUGCUUGUGGGGAUGGUUGGGUAUAUUUUUAUAGCUUGAAUAAUAAUGCCAUAAGAACUUGAAAGCUA